Molecule: ribosomal RNA, 426 nt
Filed under: uncultured bacterium
Lineage: Bacteria
Description: bacterial SSU rRNA
Rfam family: Bacterial small subunit ribosomal RNA
Source: RNAcentral
UCGAGAAUCUUCCGCAAUGGGCGAAAGCCUGACGGAGCGACGCCGCGUGCGGGAUGAAGGCCUUCGGGUUGUAAACCGCUGUCAGUGGGGAGGAAAUCUAUAGGGGUCAUCCCCUAUAGUUGACCUAUCUUCAGAGGAAGGACGGGCUAAGUUCGUGCCAGCAGCCGCGGUAAGACGAACCGUCCAAACGUUAUUCGGAAUCACUGGGCUUAAAGGGUGCGUAGGCGGCUUGGCAAGUUGGGUGUGAAAUCCCUCGGCUCAACCGGGGAACUGCGCUCAAAACUGCCAGGCUAGAGGGAGAUAGAGGUGAGCGGAACUAAUGGUGGAGCGGUGAAAUGCGUUGAUAUCAUUAGGAACACCUGUGGCGAAAGCGGCUCACUGGAUCUUUUCUGACGCUGAGGCACGAAAGCUAGGGUAGCGAACGGG